UCCUCGCGCCUUCUCGUUUUCUUCGAGAAAAGUUGCAAGCUGGAUUUCUUCCCCUUAGGUUAAGCGCUGGCUUUGGUGCCUUCUGUUCCACAACGCUGGCAGCAGGCUUGGCCGCGAGGUUUUGCUUUGGUUUUGGAGACAGACUGCGCCUGUGUGCGUGCGUGCGCUGAGCCUUGACAAGCCUCAGAGCCCUGCCGCCUCCCGCACCCUGCUGCAGCAAGAGAGGAGAAAACCGACAAGGUGAAAUGCAAUGGGAGGAGAGCGAGCCGGUGGAUCUUUAUUUUAGUCUGCGAGCUGAAAGAGAGACUAAACUGGCACUCGGGGCUGCUGCUUUUAUAAAGGAGAGAUGGGUGGAGCAUAACUUGCCAUCCUCCUCUUGGCCGGGUAUCAAGGCGAAAAAUCUAGCGAGGGAGCAGCAGCUCCUCGCUGACAAAAUAAAAGUGUGUUAAUUUGAAUGAUUAAUUAAUUAAAAAUGGCUAACGCUA
Oxyura jamaicensis (ruddy duck) is the source of this 485-nucleotide long non-coding RNA. RefSeq lists it as uncharacterized. NCBI's taxonomy places the organism in Eukaryota, Metazoa, Chordata, Aves, Anseriformes, Anatidae. The transcript is spliced from 2 exons. The record is from RefSeq and is a predicted model, not a curated record.